AUAACAUGGAAAUGGAAUGAAUGAAUGGACAAUGGGAAUGAGUUAACCAAUACACGAUGGCUUGGCAGGUGACCAAUGACCACAGCCAAUGAGGAUUUAAUAGGGGAUUUCAUUACUAGUAACAAGUAAAGCUGACACUGGGGAUAGUUCUCAAAGCAGUGCCUCCCGGUGGCGGGGUGGGGGGUGGGGCAGGGGGCGGAGAGUGGAGAGAGGGUUGUGGGUGUGGUUUGCUGCUGGCUUUGAUAGCUUUGGUGCACGAGUUGUUGUUCUGCUGGCACUGGGGGAAGUGUUGCUUUUGGUGUUAGAGUGAACCCUUGCUGGGACUUCUGCCUAGACCAUAAGCUCCAGAAAGGCAGGCUCGUGUCUCAUGGUAUCCCCAGACCUUAGCCCAGUUCACAGCUCCAUUAAUAUUUGCUGAUUGAAUGUAUAAGACUAAAGACAAACGGUCACUUAAAUGCAUUCAUGUGAACUUGAUACACUUGACAAAGGGAAACAGAGAAUCUGAUCUAAUCUGAGCGGUCAGGGGAGGCUUUUCCAAAGAAGUGACACUUGAGCUGAGACCCAAGGACUGGGUAAGAGUGAACCAGGUAAAAUGGGGGGCAGGGGGUGCUUCCCAAGCCUGCCCUGGACAGGCGUUCAGCGUUGCCACCUCCUGUGUGUGUCUCCCGGGAGGAAACAGAACUGAAAAGGCAUGCUCACUUAAUUUCUCCUGUUAUCUGUUGCUGAAAUGUAUCCUUUGUCUGUAUCACAGCCUUAUCUUGUACAGGAUUCAUGUGUUCGCGAGCUCAUUUCCACCAGAACUCAGCCCAGGCUGCUGUGGGAUGGAAUCACCUGCACCUGGAUGUGCUUUCUGGACUGGUACAUACAGUACUUUAAUCAGCAUUUAAUGACCCAGUCGAAAAUUCAUCGUUUGGACCCAAGCACUGGUGGGAAAGGCAGGAGGGGAGGCCUGCCUUCCUCUCUCCCUCCCGAGUCCUACAGCAGGCCAUGGAGUGGUGAGCGAGUUUGUACCGUGCCAGCCACAUUCCCAGAAACUUCCAGCCGAGGUUAAUCCUGCUCCUCUUGGGUAGGAGACAAUGAAUGGAUAUUAAUUAACAAAUGGACUCCCUAUGUUGGCUAAUGCCACUCCCUACUCAACCUAGGAUGACUCCACUGGUGCAUGUCCCCAUUCCCGGGCCCCAAGGCUGCGUUAAUGUGCUAUCCUGACUGCCCCCUUCAUCCUCCACCCCUAAUGUUCCUACUCCUUUCCCCUCCCAACACCAAGCCAUGCCUGAACUGGACACCCUUCCAUACCAACCCAGGAAAAAGUGAUUCAGCUCCGGUCCACCCUGGGUGCAGCAGUCCUUCUGCCAAGAUGCCUUCAUGUCAUACAGCUAUUAUUUUUGGGAGGAUUCAAGUGAGGGCAGUCAGGGUAAGUGCCUCUCACCAGCUUCCUGCUCAGACCAUUGCUCCACAUACCCUAGCUCAUAAAUCCUGCCC
Long non-coding RNA from Macaca fascicularis (crab-eating macaque), 1479 nucleotides. NCBI's taxonomy places the organism in Eukaryota, Metazoa, Chordata, Mammalia, Primates, Cercopithecidae. The record is from Ensembl.